Molecule: long non-coding RNA, 2780 nt
Filed under: Capsicum annuum
Lineage: Eukaryota; Viridiplantae; Streptophyta; Magnoliopsida; Solanales; Solanaceae
Description: long non-coding RNA (CANN_LNC002451)
Source: RNAcentral
AACCGUUGAUCUUAUGCAAUCAACGCUGAAAUUAAAUUCUCUUUUAAUAUAAUUAAUCCCCAAAAUAAAAAAACGCUAAAUGAAAUCAUUCCCCGACCUCCCAUUUUUGCUUCUUUUCAUCUCUCUCAAAAUUCCAACCACCACCGCCUGCCGCCGCUGGAGCAGACAACUAAAUGACCAUUGAUCUCCCUAACCAGCUCUUCUCUCUCCCCAUAUCCCUCUAUUUGGGGAACGCCGCCUUCCACCGAUGAUGCCACUAGUCCGUCGAACCAAUGAAAACCAACGCCCCGCACCACUGGCCGGCGAAAUCAACCGGCGAACCCCACUGCUCUAGCCGCGCUGCCUCUUCACCUAAAACCCUUCAUAUCUCCUCCUUACACCGCUGCCAGCUACCACUAGACAAUGAAACCAAGCCGCCAACAAAACUAGCCGCGCCUUCCGCCUCUUCUCCCUCACGCCGCCACUCCAAACUCUGUCUAAUUAACACCGAAAAAGAGUAAAGUCCAUGAUGAAUUCUCAGAAUCUGUCCUUGGUUUGUUGAUUUGUUUCAGUUUCCUUCUUCUACUCUUUUUUCUUCUCACUGAUUUUUAGAUUCGAAAUAGGCAUAGUUUGGCUUUGAAUUUUGAGUUGAUUCUUAAUAUUUCAUGUUUGUUUAUGUAUUUAGAUCUACAUACAUAAAAAAAGCCCAAUUUCUUUGAACUUCCAUUAAUCCUAGAUUUCUCUAAAUUUAGGACUGAUUUUCUAGAACUUGCUAUUCUGUCUCAAUUUCGUGAGUUUGUUCUUUAAUUUCAUAAGAUUCAAAAUUCGUGGACAUCUAUUAAUGGUUCCCUUCUAGAAUUUACGAAUUCUCGUUCCUUGAUAUUUUUAUAUUGUUAUGUGAAUUAUUCUGGUCCUUUGAUACAUUUGAUACAUUUGAAUUAGUUGUUUAGUUUCUUACACUUCACAUAUUUUCAAAUACAUCUUGAUCAGUUUGUUUCACUUUAAUUCUUUCUGAAUUAGAAUCACAGUGAGAGUGUGACUGGCUCUGAAUACCGCUUAUGGUAAGUCAAUAGAUAUAAUUUCUUGAUUAGAUCCUCUUGAUAUGGUGGUAUUUUAAUUGAUUUUGGUUGCUAAUUGAUCCCUUUCCUUUACCUUGCUUUGUUACUUGACUAUUCAUGGAAACUUUCUUCUUUGUUAUUGAUGUCUUUUCCUUUGUAACAUUUGGCAGUUUUAGUAUUUGGUUAAUUAUGAAAAGUUUGAUAUGCAGUUUUAGUACUUGGACCUUGAUUGAUUUUCUGCCUACGUGCUUAAGGAAAAUAUCCUCACUAAUUGAUUUUCUUUUCCUUUACUCCUUUAGGAUCACUUGAUUAAUUAUGGCAACUAAGUGUAAUUUUUUUUCUUUAAUUGAUUCAUUUUAUUAAAAGAAAAAGAAAUUUUCAUUACUUGAUCUUGGAAUAUCUUUGUUUCGUCUUUAUUUCCAUAAUUAAUAUUCUCAAUAUUCCCCUUUCCUUUAAUGCAUUACCACUCUUUUAUUAUAUAAACACAACCCUUUUCUUCUAUUAGGGACAACUUUUUAACUCCUAUUUUCUCUAUACAAAAAAUACCAGCUUUGAACGAUACUUCCUCUUCUCUUUAACAACUUUUCAUCCUCUACCUCUCUCUUUAACAUCUUUGAGCAUUGCACACUCUCUCUCUAGAAUACUUUAAAGUUCUCAUAAUCAAGGGAGGGAUUUUGAUUUCUAUGUGCUAUUUUAUUGAUACUACUCUCCAUUUUGUGUGCUACUUCAAAGUUCAAUUUUUCUUCUAUUAAUUUUGCUAUUAACAGGUUAGUCUCUAUCGACGUGUAUUUUAAUUCUUAUAUGGUGAUUCUUUAUAAUCUAAACUUGGAAAGCAUGCAGAUAUUCUGUAUUUGUGUUCCUUAGAAUCAUGUGGCUACCACAUGUCUACCAAAAUAUGUAUGUUUGAUUUUUUGUACUUGAAUAUUUUUGCUAUAUUUAACAGGUUCUUGGAUCAAAAGUAAGAGAAGAGUCAUUGUGGAAUUUGGGUUAUUUGGAGAUCUUCUAAUCUUAAUUUUUUUGUUAUUUAUUAUCUUGAUUUGUAAUAACUAUCGUAUAAACGCUAUGUAUGAUAAGACUAUGGGGACUGCUUAUGGGGCCCCGAGACUAUGUGAUUUGAAUAAAUUAUUUUAUCACUUAAAGCAAAAUAUUUUAGGAUUAUUAAUUAAUUUGUUUUAUCACCUAUAAAUCAUGUUUUUGAUGUAUUAAUUAAUUUUCGACAUAUAAAAUUAAGUUUGGACGAGUCAAAUGAAUUAAUAGCAUGUUUGAUUAAUUUUCGUCAUAUUAUAAUUAAGCUUCAACAUGUCUAUCUAAUUUUUCUGCAUGUUUAAAUUAAUUUUCAGCACAUAUAAAGUAUAUAUUUUCCAGCAUAUAAUUAUUUUUCAGCAUUGGAAUUUAUUUUCCAGCCCAUUUUAAAAUUAAUUUUCAGCAUUUUAAUUAGGCUUAGCAUAUUUUGGUUCAAACCGAAAAAUCAAACUGAAAUUUAAUUUGGUUUCGAUUUUUUGGUUUUUAGAUUGGUUUCGAUUUGUAAUUUUUAAAAUUCAGUUUAAAGGUUUGGGUUUUGGUUUUUCAAAAAAAUAUUUCGGUUAAACCAAAAAACUAAAAUUUUAUAAAUUAAUAUAUAAUAUAUAUAUUUUAUUAUAUAUAUUCAGUAAUUACAAUUACAGAUUCACAAUUCACAAACCACAUUAUAUACGUAAUACGCCGCAGCCAACCCUAGUCCCUAAAUCCCUAUUACCUAUGUAG